CCCGCACAAGCGGUGGAGCAUGUGGUUUAAUUCGAAGCAACGCGAAGAACCUUACCAGGUCUUGACAUCCUCUGACAAUCCUAGAGAUAGGACGUCCCCUUCGGGGGCAGAGUGACAGGGUGCAUGGUUGUCGUCAGCUCGUGUCGUGAGAUGUUGGGUUAAGUCCCGCAACGAGCGCAACCCUUGAUCUUAGUUGCCAGCAUUCAGUUGGGCACUCUAAGGUGACUGCCGGUGACAAACCGGAGGAAGGUGGGGAUGACGUCAAAUCAUCAUGCCCCUUAUGACUCUGGGCUACACACGUGCUACAAUGGACAGAACAAAGGGCAGCGAAACCGCGAGGUUAAG
RNAcentral lists this ribosomal RNA (345 nucleotides) under Bacillus sp. (in: firmicutes). Its description in RNAcentral is "bacterial SSU rRNA". It matches the Rfam family "Bacterial small subunit ribosomal RNA", at positions 920 to 1267 of the family's 1533-position model. Lineage: Bacteria; Bacillati; Bacillota; Bacilli; Caryophanales; Bacillaceae. The record is from RNAcentral.